GACGAACGCUGGCGGCGUGCCUAACACAUGCAAGUCGAACGGGGUAGCAAUACCUCAGUGGCGAACGGGUGCGUAACACGUGAAGAAUUUGUCUAACGGCGGGGAUAGCCGGCCCAACGGCCGGGUAAUACCGCGUACGACCUCUGGAGGGCAUCCUCUGGUGGUGAAAGCCGCAAGGCGCCGAUAGAGAACUUCGCGGCCUAUCAGCUAGUUGCGGGGUAAUGGCCCACCAAGGCGACGACGGGAGCUGGUCCGAGAGGAUGACCAGCCACAUUGGGACUGAGACACGGCCCAGACUCCUACGGGA
Molecule: ribosomal RNA, 307 nt
Filed under: uncultured bacterium
Lineage: Bacteria
Description: bacterial SSU rRNA
Rfam family: Bacterial small subunit ribosomal RNA
Source: RNAcentral